CGAGAUCCCAUACGAUCACCGAAGUUAAGCAACGUCGAGCCUGGUCAGUACCUAGUUGGGUAACCGCUUAGGAAUACUUCGU
This is a non-coding RNA of Acanthosepion pharaonis, 82 nucleotides long. The record is from the annotation of a GenBank genome assembly. Lineage: Eukaryota; Metazoa; Mollusca; Cephalopoda; Sepiida; Sepiidae.